AACGCGAAGAACCUUACCGGGUCUUGACAUCCACGGAAGUUUUCAGAGAUGAGAAUGUGCCUUCGGGAACCGUGAGACAGGUGCUGCAUGGCUGUCGUCAGCUCGUGUUGUGAAAUGUUGGGUUAAGUCCCGCAACGAGCGCAACCCUUAUCCUUUGUUGCCAGCGGUCCGGCCGGGAACUCAAAGGAGACUGCCAGUGAUAAACUGGAGGAAGGUGGGGAUGACGUCAAGUCAUCAUGGCCCUUACGACCAGGGCUACACACGUGCUACAAUGGCGCAUACAAAGAGAAGCGACCUCGCGAGAGCAAGCGGACCUCAUAAAGUGCGUCGUAGUCCGGAUUGGAGUCUGCAACUCGACUCCAUGCAGUCGGAAUCGCUAGUAAUCGUGGAUCAGAAUGCCACGGUGAAUACGUUCCCGGGUCUUGUACACACGC
This 434-nucleotide ribosomal RNA is filed under the name uncultured Escherichia sp. Its description in RNAcentral is "bacterial SSU rRNA". It matches the Rfam family "Bacterial small subunit ribosomal RNA", at positions 958 to 1393 of the family's 1533-position model. The record is from RNAcentral. Lineage: Bacteria; Pseudomonadati; Pseudomonadota; Gammaproteobacteria; Enterobacterales; Enterobacteriaceae.